AGCACCUUAGCCACUGAGCCAUCUCCCAAGUCCUACAUAUGACUCUGAAGGUCGACCAUGAAGUACAGAAACAAGCCUGAGUCGGGCCAAGUGUCAGCAGAGCUGGAUCAAGGAAGUCCAGAUUUGACUCACAUAAGAGCUGCCUGUGCGUUCCUGUGCAGCGGUGGGAGUCAGAUCCACCAUGCUGGUCCACUAUACUGAUGGCAUCAUUCUCCUCAAGCCCAGUGAACAGGAAGUGGCAAGUACUCGGAUGCCCUCGUAAGAGCUAUACAUAUCAAGAGUGCAGGUUUCCAAUGCAUGGUAUGGAACCAUCUACGUUAAAGAGGAAGAAGAUUGUCAAGGACAAGGCUUCAUGAUGCUUCAGAAUCCAGUGAUGCUUUCACAGAGUGCUUGGCAGGGGCCCCACUCUUGCUGGCUGUCUGCCGAGGAGACCCUCAACUCUGAGUGACCCAUAGUCACUGGCCUGGGGAUUUCUUCAGCAUGGCUGCUGAUGACAUCCAGCAAGAGCCUGUACCUAAGAGAGAACAGCAUGGAGGGAUGUCAUCACCUUUUCAGGUCUAUUAGAGAAUAACCCAGGAUAAGCAGUGACUACCAUCACUGUAUGAGUGAAGGAAUAUGGAUCUCAAGGAGCCCCCACUCUGACCAGGGGAAGGCAGGGGCACUGUGGACUGGGUCAUGGCCACUGUAUGAUCAAAUACCCAGAGUUCCUGAUGAAGACAAUCCACAGAAGAUGCUCCAGACACACUCUGGUCCAGGUUACCACAUGGAUAGACAUGAUGAUUUUAGAGAAUGAUACAAGCCUCGAUGUCAGUAAAGCACAAGGCAUUUGCUUUGGUUUGAAGGCUACAAGAGGGGACGUCUGCAGGGGGAUUUGUGUAUGGUGAAGCAAAUCAAAGGAACAUCAGGAUGAAGAACAUCCCAUACCCAGUGAGCAGGAAGUGCAAAGGCCCUGGGGUGAGAGUGAACUUUACCAACUCCAGGAACAGCAGGAGGCUGGGGCCUAGAGGUGAGUAGGGAUCCAACACACAGGGAUCGUGGAGAGGCUUUAGAUGUCCCCAUAAGCACAAUAGCAGCUCUUGGGAGGCUUGGGUCUAAGGAGGACUCUGACUUGAUUUAUCUGUCUCUCUGCCUUUUGUACUGAGAACAGAGAGACCAUCAAGAGCUCUAGAGCCAGGGGAUGACUUAGUUAUUGAAAUGCCUGCACAAAGGCAUGAAGACCAGAGUUCGAGCUCCAGCAUGCACUCAAACAAGCUGGGAAUGGUUCUGUGAACUUGUAAUCCUAGAGCUGGAGAGAUGGACUGGGGGGCUUCUCAGGACUAACACUGGCUAGCUAGUCUAGUCAAAUAAUUGAGUUCUGGGUUCAUGACAGACACUGUCUCAAAGGAGGUGGACAGUGUUCUUGAGGAUAACUCUCAAGGUUAUCCUGAACUUCCCACACAUCUGCGCUCGCGUGCACACACACACACACACACACACACACACACACACACACACACACACACUUGAAAAAAGUCUUCUCUAGCACCAUUCACUCCUCACACCUCCAUGUCUCUUCCUAGGAAUGCCAUACUUUUUGCAAAGUCCCUGUUCACUCCUCAGGACACAGCUCCUAUGCACCCUUCUGGGGAUCCCUUUUCUUCCUUCCAGCAGGAUAAAUUCACAUUCUCACUGUCAUUACCACUUCCAACUGUGGGCACACAUAGUGUCUCUAGUCCUUCCCUCCACUAGGCCAAGAGUCCUUCCUACACUAAGAUCUCACUCUGAUGUGUCUCAGAGACCCCAAGCCUUCCCUAGCCUGGUCUGGGGGUGGAGCCUGAAAAAUAGUUUCUGGGUUGAUGUGAGUUUUUUGAGCACCUGGGUCAUUGGCUAAAACACCAAGUUAGCAGGUGCCCUUUGAACAAACAAGGUUAGAAGUAUCUUACUGUUUUUCCUGGUGAUGCUCCACAAAGGAGGGUGUUCCUCAGUGUUUUCUAAAAUCAAUAGCCAGUGAGAGUCAAAAAUUGAAUACAUAUCUCUCAAGAGCUGGUCCUGUAUUACCUCGAGAGAGUGUUAAAAGGAUUCUAGUUAGAACACAUCUUGUAAAUACUUGUGUUUGAAAAUGUACACUUGCAGGAUGCUUUGUGGGUUCCUGUACAUGUUCUUUGAUGACUGUAAAUCUGUUUGUCACAGAUGCUUCCAAUCCCUGCUUGUUGUUUUCUUUUCCUUAAUUAAUCUAUUGAUGUAGAAUUAUGCAUCUUUUCCCAUGAAGCUAGGAGUGCGUUCAAAAGCUCAUUUCCUUGUCUGAGACAUGUGCAAAUAAAA
Onychomys torridus (southern grasshopper mouse) is the source of this 2301-nucleotide long non-coding RNA. RefSeq lists it as uncharacterized. The record is from RefSeq and is a predicted model, not a curated record. The transcript has 7 exons. NCBI's taxonomy places the organism in Eukaryota, Metazoa, Chordata, Mammalia, Rodentia, Cricetidae.